AUGUUGGGGUUUUGCAAAAGUCCUGUUCUGAUGAGUCUCCAGAUGAGAGAACCAAAAAUCCCAGCUUCCCACCGAACACUGAGGGGCGUGUCUUCUGCGCCAGGCCUUUCCUGUUUUUCUUUCUCUCUUGUUAAUGCUUUAAAAACAAAUGAGUUUUUAUACAAAUAAAGUUUUUAAAGUGUGUAUGUGGGGGGUCUGUGUCAUUUCUUCACUUUAAGCUUGUAUCUCUUCUCUCCUUUUCAUCUCGAUUACUUCAUUAUAUAUCAGUGUCCUUUUUCUCUCCAGAGCACCCAGAAGGGGAUUGUACCAGCAUGGAUUAAUUUUGAGCCCAAUGCCAGCUCUUAACAAGGAACAUUCUUUUAAUUAUAUAUGAAACACUUUUCCUCCGAAGAUUCUUAAAAAUCAAAUGUAGAGCAUGGGAAGCUUAUUGCUUAACUUAGAUAGGAAACUGAAGUAUAAAGAAUUAAUAAAUUUCUUAGUCACUGGGAUUCUUUUGUGACAUCUGUCAAAACUAACGUUGAGUAGAGCUCUGCAAUACAUGACCCUCUUGAACAUAUUUAUGAGUAGAUUAGAAGCUACCAACUCCAGCUGUCAUCCUAAUAAGUACGGAAAUGAAGAAUAAAAAGACUCACUGGGCCAUGAGGUUGCUUCUCAGGCUGUCUGCCAUCCUUUAGUAAGACGGUAAGGGGCAGGCCCAUCGCUUCCUCCGUGUCCUACCAAGUAGCAUGGGUGGGUAGCAAGUACUCAGAUUACCAGGGGUUGUCUACAAUGUAGAGGCCAAGGAUUAAGACCUCUGAAAAGGGGCCUUGUUAGCUUGUUAAGACGAGAACGGAUGUAAAACGCUUCUUGUAUGCCUAGUCUUUAGAUUAAAGAUGUAUAGCUAUUGCUGGUGAUGCUCACAUCUCAAUUUUGUUGAACUAGGUCUCCGGUAUGAAAACUUUCUUGGACUAGUAAGACCAGGACAUCUUAGCAUUGUAGCUGAUACCUUUCAAAGCUUGAUUUGUGUCCGGCAGUUGUAGUUUUAGAAAGGUGAAGCGCAGAGCCGGAAAGCUCUUAGAGUUUGCUUUAUAGAGAGAUUCGGUAGCCCUGCUUGAGUGUCUUUUUUAAAUGUAGAAAAUGCUGGCUAUUGGUGAAUAGCCUUCAUUUCUGUUAAAUUUAUUAUCCGCUGGCAUUGAGCUACACACAAACGUUACUCUCCUCUCCCUGGAUUGGUCCAUUGUUUUAUCUCAUUCAAUAAAUAUUUCCUCAGCAUCUUCCAGGUAUCAGGCAUUGUUGUGUACAUGAGGUUUAGAUGAGAGAAUGAAACGGAUGGACCCUUUCUCAUAUCGAUAGCAAUGUGCUCUUUUUAAAACAUUCCUCCGCCCUUAACUAAAACAAGGUGUUAAAAAGAAGGAUCUACAGAGUCCAUAUAUCUUGUUUCUUGGUACUGAUUUAGUAACACUUUUGAAGCCUCUUGGUGUCUCUCAACACCAGCUUUAGGAAUCCUGUGUAUUUUGUCAAGAUUUGCCAACUUAUUCCCUGAUCUUUACAGCCUGAGUUUUUAUUCCCCACUCCCAGCAGAGGUGGUAAUAGGUUAUGCCCAGCCACUCUUCUGCCUCAGUGAUGCUUUUUUUGUGAGCAUGUUUGUGAAGUAGCUGCAGUGAGUCUCACUGUGACAUACUGUGUGACUGAGCUCAGAGCUGUGACCUCACUUAGCCACUGGUUUCUUCCUGAACUAAUGCGCUUUGUUACAAAUUAGAAAUAGCUCACCCAGGAAGAGCUGCUGCUGCUAAGUCGCUUCAGUCGUGUCCGACUCUGUGCGACCCCAUAGACGGCAGCCCACCAGGCUCCCCUGUCCCUGGGAUUUUCCAGGCAAGAGUACUGGAGUGGGGUGCCAUUGCCUUCUCUGCCAGGAAGAGCUAAGAACCAGUUAUUCUAGACCAUCUAGACCAUUAUUUUUCACUGUUUAUUUCUGAAGUACUGGAUAGUAAAGAUUCAUCUUGGUAUUUUCAUAGAUAGUUGUAGACCACCUACAGGUAGUCUUACAGAUUGGAGCAAGUACACAGGAAUUACCUGGGAAGCUUGUUAAAAAUGCAGAUUUCCAUGCUGCUUUUCCAAAAAUUGCUUCAAUAGGUGGGACUCAGGAAUCCUGAAAUCUUAAGUAACCUAGGUUAUUCAAAUACCUGUGGUGAGUUAAUUGCAACUUGAGACACUGAUCUGAAGACUUGCUUAAGAUUUCAGCCUCAGGCUAUAAUAGAAUCCAGGAUGACUGGCUUCAGCACCACUGGCAGUAAUACUAGUUUCAUGGUGGGUGUGGUGACAGCCACAGAAAAAAAGAGUUCAUUGAGGAAACAACGUUUGUCUCAAAGGUAUGAAUUGACUGUAGAAUUUAAGAUACUGGUGACAGGCAUGUAGGUAGGAGAAACGUCUUUUGCAAAAUCAUGCCAUCUCUGUGGAUGGGAGAUGAACUUCUCCCUUGAUAUGGAGCCCUCCAGAGCAGUAGAGAAUUCCCUAACAAAUUUUAACAAAAAUGUCAUUUUUGGCUACAAAUAGAGUAUCCCAACUGGGGAGCAAGUGGCCCCAUUGACCAAAACCAGGGAGAUGUGUCUGGAAAUUUAGAUCACUUCUAAGGACAACCUAUCCAAAGAAAAUCACUCCCAAGGACAACCUAUCUAAAGAAAACAGAAAAAACAUUGUAGGAGCAAAGUGUUUUUGGGUGCACCACGUGACUCUCAGAAUCUUAGUUCCGCAGAGAAUUUAACCCAGUCAGUGACGGUGAAAGACUGGACUCCUGACCUCUAGAAACGAUCAGGGCCCACUACCCACGAGUGGGUUGAGUCAAGAGCCUUGUGCGUGUCAGUGCAGUUGCGGGAGCCACCAAUAGUGUGAGCAUGUGGCAACUAGCUACUUAGCUGAGGCAAAAUGCCAUGCUUCUCACCGUGUAUGUUUCUGUCUUUAUUGUUUGAAAAGACAGCUUCUUCCAGUUUUAUUUAGGAUACAGAAGGGUUACUAUCUUGCUGUCUCUCCCCAGGUAUUUCUAGUGUUAAUGGACAGUAGCUUGAAUGCCAUAGGCAUUUGUGCCCGAGAAAGAGAAAUACGAGGUGUUCACGGUAACGUGCUGGGCACCUCACUGCUCUAGUCUCCUUCCUUUGCUCCAUCGUUAAGGCGAAGUUAGCACUGGCCUUUUACAGACUCAAGGGUCAGGAGAAUGUAGUGUGUAUGCUGCUAAGUCACUUCAGUCUCGUCUAACUCUGUGCGACCCCAUAGACGGCAGCCCACCAGGCCCGCCCCUGGGAUUCUCCAGGCAAGAACACUGGAAUGGGUUUCCAUUUCCUUCUCCAAUGCAUGAAACUGAAAAGUGAAAGUGAAGUCGCUCAGUUGUGUCCGACUCUUAGCGACCCCAUGGACUGCAGCCCACCAGGCUCCUCUGUCCAUGGGAUUUUCCAA
Molecule: long non-coding RNA, 3426 nt
Organism: Bos grunniens (domestic yak)
Lineage: Eukaryota; Metazoa; Chordata; Mammalia; Artiodactyla; Bovidae
Source: Ensembl